UACAGAGGUCCCAAGCGUUGUUCGGAUUCAUUGGGCGUAAAGGGUGCGUAGGUGGCGCUGUAAGUCGGGUGUGAAAUUUCGGAGCUUAACUCCGAAACUGCAUUCGAUACUGCGGUGCUUGAGGACUGGAGAGGAGACUGGAAUUCAUGGUGUAGCAGUGAAAUGCGUAGAGAUCAUGAGGAAGACCAGUGGCGAAGGCGGGUCUCAGGACAGUUCCUGACACUGAGGCACGAAGGCCAGGGGAGCAAACGGG
RNAcentral lists this ribosomal RNA (253 nucleotides) under uncultured bacterium. Its description in RNAcentral is "partial 16S ribosomal RNA". It matches the Rfam family "Bacterial small subunit ribosomal RNA", at positions 524 to 776 of the family's 1533-position model. The record is from RNAcentral.